Molecule: ribosomal RNA, 414 nt
Filed under: uncultured microorganism
Description: bacterial SSU rRNA
Rfam family: Archaeal small subunit ribosomal RNA
Source: RNAcentral
CAGCCGCCGCGGUAAUACCGGCGGCCCGAGUGGCGGCCACUAUUAUUGGGCUUAAAACGUCCGUAGCCGGGUUGGUUAGUCUCCCGGGAAAUCUGGCCGCUUAAAGGUCAGAAUUCCGGGAGAUACUGCCAGCCUAGGGACCGGGAGAGGCCGAGGGUAUUCCCGGAGUAGGGGUGAAAUCCUAUAAUCCCGGGAGGACCACCUGUGGCGAAGGCGCUCGGCUGGAACGGGUCCGACGGUGAGGGACGAAGGCCAGGGGAGCAAACCGGAUUAGAUACCCGGGUAGUCCUUGCUGUAAACGAUGCGGACUUUGUGUCGGACAAGCUAUGAGCUUGUCCGGUGCCGGAGGGAAACCGUUAAGUCCGCCGCCUGGGGAGUACGGCCGCAAGGCUGAAACUUAAAGGAAUUGGAGGG